Rattus norvegicus (Norway rat) is the source of this 63-nucleotide non-coding RNA. The record is from Rfam. NCBI's taxonomy places the organism in Eukaryota, Metazoa, Chordata, Mammalia, Rodentia, Muridae.
GGGGAUUUGGCUCAGUGGUAGAGUGCUUGCUUAGCAAGCGCGAGGCCUUGGGUUCAGUCCCCA